ACUUAUCUCUGCCUGUGAAUCAGGAAGACCAGCUCCUCCUACUGUCUUCUGUGUUAGGGAUCACUUCCUUGUUGAGUGGGACCUGAGUUUUGAGAGGGUCUUCUGCUCCUCUUCGUCUGGUCCCUUACUUCCAAGACCCCAGAGAGGAAGGCAUGCUGUUGGCUCUAGCUCUGCUUCUAGCUUUCCUGCCUCCUGGUAAGAGUGCUGCCUACAGAGAGGCUCACAGGUUUUAUUUUGUUUCGUUUUGUUUAUUUUCUUCUUUUGCAAGGGAUACCAUACUAAGAAAUGCCUCAUUACAUUUUGUGUUGUUCCCAUUGCAGCCAGUCAGAAAUCUUCCAACUUGGAAGGGAGAACAAAGUCAGUCACCAGGCCAACUGGGUCAUCAGCUGUAAUCACUUGUGAUCUUCCUGUAGAAAAUGCCGUCUACACCCACUGGUACCUACACCAGGAGGGGAAGGCCCCACAGCGUCUUCUGUACUAUGACUCCUACAACUCCAGGGUUGUGUUGGAAUCAGGAAUCAGUCGAGAAAAGUAUCAUACUUAUGCAAGCACAGGGAAGAGCCUUAAAUUUAUACUGGAAAAUCUAAUUGAACGUGACUCUGGGGUCUAUUACUGUGCCACCUGGGAUAGGCACAGUGAUUCAGACCUGUGCUACACCACACUGAAAAUCUGCCUUGUGACUACUCCUGGUACACAAGAUAGACCAGCCUCAUCUCAUUUCCUGCCCAUGAAUUCACUGUAUUCUGUACAAAGAGAAACACAGCUUAACUCCUCAUCUCUCCCCUAAUAUCACACUCCCCUGGCGGCAGCUGCACCCUGUUCUCCACCCCACCCUCAUGAGUUACCUAAAGACCAAACUACAAUCUCCCAGCUGUGUCAGCCAAGCAGCCUUGCUGACAGCAAAGUUCUUUCAGCUCUUCUAUGGGCUGGUGGAGACCCAUUCCACCUGCUUCCUAAGACAGACAAAUUCCUCAAGGACUGGUCUGUAAAGGGAUUCAUUUAGGAGACUAUAUGGGAAGACUAGCUUCACUCAAGCAUUUAUCCAAUUAUUGUCUAUAGGCUAAAAUAGUGCUUAUUCAUUGCUCAGGAUAAAUGUUGGAAUAACAACUUUGCACUUCAGUAAGACAUCUAACGUGUAUCAGAUCUGCUAUCUUUUGGACACACUGACAUUUUUUUCUACAUAACAAAUCAUGGUACUAUUGGUCUGCAGGAGAAUGGGUAAAAAAGUGAUAGUCAUAGGUACGCCAACUUGUGGGUCAUAUCAUAGGUUUUCAACCAUUUCAAGCAUCCCUGCCCUAAUGCAAGUAUCUGAAGGAUCUGACCCUUGCCCUGCAGCAGAAUUCAUUCCAUGUCCCCUCUGGAUAUUAGACUGAUAAUUUGGAUCAGGUCUCAGCAUGGGCCAUUGAGGAACACUACAGCCCUGCUGAGAGAUAAAAAGGAUUAUCCACUCAAGGAGUUCACACCUCCGGGCCGACAUGGAGAACGUGCCUAGAAGCAGACUUGGAGGGUGCUCAGUGGUGGGUUGUGGAAUGUAAGCCUGAAGAAGCAGAGUUUAAUUCUACGGGGGUGCUUUCAUAAUUUAGUACCCUGACAGGGCUCCUGGUGUUGGUCCUUAGACACUCCUGGGAUGGCUCCCUGGAAACAUGGAGGAAACCUUGGUCGCAUGACAUGAUACGGAGAUGUUGGAGCUGCCUGGACACAGUUACAGAGGGAGGCAUUAAAAGGCUUCGAGAGGCAGGUCUUAGAAAAUGACUCUUCCUGUCUCAAAAUGCAGUCCUUCAUUCUGAUUGAUGAAUUGGAAGCACAUGGCUGGUGUAAAGAAUAAGAAACUAAUUAUAAGCCAGGAAACAGCAGGAGAAGAAAGCAGAGAAGCAACGCUUACCCUGAAGAAUUAAUUUCCGUUUAGAAAAUAUCACAGCUGAUGUGUCAAAGGCCCCGGUAUGCAGGAAUGAGAUUAAACAAAUGUGGUCAUGAGGAAGAGGUUUCUGAAUAAUGAUAGAGAAGCUUGAGUCUACAAGAAAUCCAGAGUCCAGAAUACUGCAGGGGAGCAGUGCUGGGUUC
RNAcentral lists this long non-coding RNA (2061 nucleotides) under Homo sapiens (human). Its description in RNAcentral is "non-protein coding lnc-AMPH-6:3". Lineage: Eukaryota; Metazoa; Chordata; Mammalia; Primates; Hominidae. The record is from RNAcentral.